RNAcentral lists this small RNA (371 nucleotides) under Cryptococcus neoformans H99. Its description in RNAcentral is "Cryptococcus neoformans var. grubii H99 hypothetical RNA". Lineage: Eukaryota; Fungi; Basidiomycota; Tremellomycetes; Tremellales; Cryptococcaceae. The record is from RNAcentral.
AAAUCCUUCACACUAGAUCGUCUAGGUAAAUUGUAAAUACUGCUACGCUGGUGGCCCUUCUCCACGGUGCAAUCGCCUACGCUCCACGGUACAAGAACUUGAUGAUACAGCAAGUACUCUGUACUACAGCAUACGUGCCCGCAUGCAUAUCAGCUCCUUCACGUAGUCGUUCAGAAUCACGACUAGCUUGUUGCUGCUUCCCUCUCCUUUUCACGCUCUUCUUCUGAACAACAUACAUUUUCAUUCGGUGAUAUAUCUUCAUAUACAGUUCUCAAUGCCGACCAAUGUAAGGCAAUGGUCACAAACAUGAAUUAUCUUGGAAGGCCACUUAUGUACUGAUAUAAGCUUACAUUACGGGCAACUCGUCCUAU